CGUGGACUACAAAAUAAAACCCUCUGAUGAUGACGUGUCUGACUGGCUCCUUCACACAGGUGGGCUAGGCCCACUGUCCCGCCCACAGUCAGGUAUAAAGGUGCAGCUGUACUUGCUGUGAUUUUGAUUGUUGUUUAUUAGCUUGUUGUUUUUAGCUUGUUGUCUGUUUUUGCUGCAGAUACAAUGGCUGAGCACAAUGAGACGAGGCGUCAUACUGGUCGGCUCCGGCAGCCGGGGGAAGACGAAGCUGUCUGGCCCAGGGAGAUUUUGAUUCGGAACCGUGCUGCCGAUUCCGAUAACACGUUUACAAAUAACCAGGAGGCAGCUCAUCAAGUUAACAGUCACAUUCAACUUACAGUCAUGCCCUCCACGGCUCCUGGGCGCUGAAAAUGCUGAAACACCAUGACCGCCUCCAGGUAAUAGCGGUACAUGGUCUUUUCAUUUUCGGUGAUGGGCUGGUUGGUGAUCAACUUCCCAUAGAGGUUCAGGAAGUCUUUUUUUGCAACUUGCAAAAUCUCCUGGCACUUCCUGACAGACUUCAUGCCGCCGACAAAAUGAUCCCAUCUAAAUCACAGAAAAGAGACAUGAUAUAUGCCCGCAUGCAUGACGGGACACCACCAGUAGAUGCCCAAAGAUGGAAGAGGAGGAUGAAGAUCCCUCGGGCAGUCUUCCCUUCCCCUUCUCCUUCCCCUUCUACUUUCCCUUCCCCUUCUACUUUCCCUUCCCCUUCUCCUUAGGUCUGCGCACCAGCAGCAUCCUCAUCCUCAUGAGAAUAAGAAUGAGGAUGCCGAGUCCACCUCAUUAGUCCUCCAUGUUGUUUUUGAAAAAAUAAAAUAUA
Long non-coding RNA from Myripristis murdjan (pinecone soldierfish), 838 nucleotides. RefSeq lists it as uncharacterized. Lineage: Eukaryota; Metazoa; Chordata; Actinopteri; Holocentriformes; Holocentridae. The transcript is spliced from 3 exons. The record is from RefSeq and is a predicted model, not a curated record.